Nannospalax galili (Upper Galilee mountains blind mole rat) is the source of this 104-nucleotide small nucleolar RNA. RefSeq annotates it as small nucleolar RNA U13. The record is from RefSeq and is a predicted model, not a curated record. The transcript has a single exon. NCBI's taxonomy places the organism in Eukaryota, Metazoa, Chordata, Mammalia, Rodentia, Spalacidae.
UCCUUUCUGUGGUUCCUAAAUGUGACAGUUGGGUUUUCAUGUCAUUGUGGGAGGUGUGCUGCCCUCAAACCUUGUAACUACAUUGGUAUAAUGCCUGUCUUAUG